Molecule: small nuclear RNA, 108 nt
Organism: Perognathus longimembris pacificus (Pacific pocket mouse)
Lineage: Eukaryota; Metazoa; Chordata; Mammalia; Rodentia; Heteromyidae
Source: RefSeq, a predicted model, not a curated record
GUGCUCAAUUCAGCAGCACAUACACUAGAAUUGGAAUGAUACAGAGAAGAUUCACAUGGCCCCUAUGCAAGGAUGAGACACAAAUUCAUAGCGUUCCAUAUGGAAGUU